This 497-nucleotide ribosomal RNA is filed under the name uncultured bacterium. Its description in RNAcentral is "partial 16S ribosomal RNA". It matches the Rfam family "Bacterial small subunit ribosomal RNA", at positions 28 to 507 of the family's 1533-position model. The record is from RNAcentral.
GAUGAACGCUGGCGGCGUGCCUAAUACAUGCGAGUCGAGCGAACAGACGAGGAGCUUGCUCCUUUGACGUUAGCGGCGGACGGGUGAGUAACACGUAGGUAACCUACCUAUAAGACUGGGAUAACUUCGGGAAACCGGAGCUAAUACCGGAUAAUAUUUCGAACCGCAUGGUUCGAUAGUGAAAGAUGGCUUUGCUAUCACUUAUAGAUGGACCUGCGCCGUAUUAGCUAGUUGGUAAGGUAACGGCUUACCAAGGCAACGAUACGUAGCCGACCUGAGAGGGUGAUCGGCCACACUGGAACUGAGACACGGUCCAGACUCCUACGGGAGGCAGCAGUAGGGAAUCUUCCGCAAUGGGCGAAAGCCUGACGGAGCAACGCCGCGUGAGUGAUGAAGGUCUUCGGAUCGUAAAACUCUGUUAUUAGGGAAGAACAAACGUGUAAGUAACUGUGCACGUCCUGACGGUACCUAAUCAGAAAGCCACGGCUAACUACGUG